CCUUCUUCUCGCAUGGGUCUGGCUUCUCCGUGGGAACUCCAGGUGGAGACAUCGCCCACGGUCACAGAGGCCGCAGUCUAACCAGGCAGAGCCCAGACUUCCCUCUCCCCGGAGACUUCCUCCCGCUCGUCCGGGACCAGAUCCCGAGGCUUUUCCAGCCAGCCGAGACUCACCGUCCCUGCAGCGUGUCCUGGCUUUUCCCCAGAGCCUCUUCCUGGUGGGACGCGUCUGAAACAGAUGUCACCUCAGUGGGCUGCUCUCACUGUGGAGACGCAGCGGCUCGACUCGGAGCUCCUCACCCUGUCUCAAACAGAAGCCCCCUGCCAGACUGGAGAAAGAGCUCAUUUUGCCCACUUGCCCACGAGAUUUCCUCCUUUUUCAGCCAUGACCCAGAUCUCAUUACUGUAUGAGAGUAAAAAUGUAUCAACCAGUAAAUCUAAUGAUCAAAUUAUCAUAAAAACAUGUGUACAUACAUAUGAAUAUAUUCCUCCAGCAAGUAGUGCUUUAUUGCUGUUGGAUGCAGUGAUGCAACAUGAGUCCACAUUUUUUAGAUGGCGUUGUUUCAUGCUCUUGAGGAAUAUUUUCACAGAUUUUAUUAAUAGUUUAUGGGAAGGCCUUUAGCUUUUUGCAUGACAUGCUGAAAUGAAAAGAGACCAUCAACAACCCUCAUAAUUCCUCUCCGACAUUAAUUGCAUACUAAAUGUAGCCCAGUCCUAGAUCUGCAAAUCACUGUCUGCAUCUGAGCGGAUGAUGAAAUAGCCAUUCAAUCUGAAAAUGAGGCCUAGCUAAUUAUGCAUGUGUUUGAGAAAUUAAAAGUACCAAAGGAUCGACGGCCGGCACGGCAUCGAUUCUGAUUGAGUGUUUCUUUUUUUUUUUCUUUUCCUCUCAGGCAAAAAGCAGAAGUCACGCUGAAAGGAGUUUUUACAGACGCGGAUGAAAGGAUGGGGGGAAAAAUAAAAAAAAAGAAUGUGAGGUUGCAUCGUAAACAACACUUACUCAAGGCGCCGCACAUGGCUCAUGUGAGAAACGCUGUGGGGAGGAAAAAAAAAGGCUCAUCAUCAUCACAGAUGGCCACUCAAUCCAAGGCAAAUGUCAAAAGGACUCGCAAGAGCACAUCACUGAGACGCCACGGAUUCACUGACGCUUGGAUGUGCACUAGGAAGACGGCAACGGCUCUGUUUCAAGCUAGAGAGAGAUAUUACCCUGUGUUCUCCACCUGGGGGGAUUCUCAGGAGCAGCCCUCUCAUUUUCAAGAGGGCACCUGAGGGGGAGAGCUGAACGUCCACGCCGCAUUCACAUCCAACUAGAGGCAACAACUUGGAAACCAUGACGGCUUUCAAAGGAAGUAGAGGAGGUGGGAGAGUGAAAGCGGAAGGAAGACAGCAUUGCUGUAAAUAAUUAAUUCGGCAGAGUUUGGGUCCUGUGAGGCCAGAAGAAAAUAUAUUGAUGUUUAAAAAAUGCUAAUUAAAGAAAGGAACACACUU
Molecule: long non-coding RNA, 1484 nt
Organism: Betta splendens (Siamese fighting fish)
Lineage: Eukaryota; Metazoa; Chordata; Actinopteri; Anabantiformes; Osphronemidae
Exons: 3
Source: RefSeq, a predicted model, not a curated record